GAUGAACGCUGGCGGCGUGCCUAAUACAUGCAAGUCGAGCGAACGGACGAGAAGCUUGCUUCUCUGAUGUUAGCGGCGGACGGGUGAGUAACACGUGGAUAACCUACCUAUAAGACUGGGAUAACUUCGGGAAACCGGAGCUAAUACCGGAUAAUAUUUUGAACCGCAUGGUUCAAAAGUGAAAGACGGUCUUGCUGUCACUUAUAGAUGGAUCCGCGCUGCAUUAGCUAGUUGGUAAGGUAACGGCUUACCAAGGCAACGAUGCAUAGCCGACCUGAGAGGGUGAUCGGCCACACUGGAACUGAGACACGGUCCAGACUCCUACGGGAGGCCGCAGUAGGGAAUCUUCCGCAAUGGGCGAAAGCCUGACGGAGCAACGCCGCGUGAGUGAUGAAGGUCUUCGGAUCGUAAAACUCUGUUAUUAGGGAAGAACAUAUGUGUAAGUAACUGUGCACAUCUUGACGGUACCUAGUCAGAAAGCCACGGCUAACUACGUG
Molecule: ribosomal RNA, 497 nt
Filed under: uncultured bacterium
Lineage: Bacteria
Description: partial 16S ribosomal RNA
Rfam family: Bacterial small subunit ribosomal RNA
Source: RNAcentral